This 574-nucleotide ribosomal RNA is filed under the name uncultured bacterium. RNAcentral's name for it is "bacterial SSU rRNA". It matches the Rfam family "Bacterial small subunit ribosomal RNA", at positions 102 to 674 of the family's 1533-position model. The record is from RNAcentral.
ACGGGUGAGUAAUACGUAGGAAUCUACCCUUAAGUGGGGGGUAACCCGAGGAAACUCGGGCUAAUACCGCAUAACCUCUUCGGAGCAAAGGGGCCUAGCAAUAGGUCUCGCUUUUGGAUGAGCCUACGCCGGAUUAGCUAGUUGGUAGAGUAAUAGCCUACCAAGGCGACGAUCCGUAGCUGGUUUGAGAGAACGACCAGCCACACUGGGACUGAGAUACGGCCCAGACUCCUACGGGAGGCAGCAGUGGGGAAUAUUGGACAAUGGGCGAAAGCCUGAUCCAGCAAUGCCGCGUGUGCGAUGAAGGCCUGCGGGUUGUAAAGCACUUUCGGUAGGGAAGAAAUGCUCAAAGUUAAUACCUUUGAGAGUUGACGUUACUUACAGAAGAAGCACCGGCUAACUCUGUGCCAGCAGCCGCGGUAAUACAGAGGGUGCAAGCGUUAAUCGGAGUUACUGGGCGUAAAGGGCGCGUAGGCGGAUAUUUAAGUCGGGUGUGAAAUCCCUGGGCUCAACCUAGGAAUUGCAUUCGAUACUGAAUAUCUAGAGUAUGGUAGAGGAAAGUGGAAUUCCCGGU